Molecule: long non-coding RNA, 7386 nt
Filed under: Nicotiana tabacum (common tobacco)
Lineage: Eukaryota; Viridiplantae; Streptophyta; Magnoliopsida; Solanales; Solanaceae
Description: long non-coding RNA (NTAB_LNC004791)
Source: RNAcentral
GCUAGUAUGAAGUACCUGGAUCUAUACAAAAAGAUGUGCAAAAGUAUAGUAUGAGUACGCCACAACGAUACUCAGUAAGUAUCAAACCUAACCUCGGUAGAGUUGUGAUAAGGUCAGGUCAAGACACUGACCGGAAUAAAUAAACAAAAUGAACAGGUAUAGUGUAGUUUGAUAAUAAAAACAAGGAAAUUAUAUAAGAAAGAAAUAUAACAAGAAUAGCUACACUGAGACUAAGGUAAUUAAGACAUCAUGGAAGAAACACAUAAUAAGAAUGCCAAGGAACUGAUGCAAAUAAAACACAAGUGAUAUAAAUAAAAGGUAUCAACCAGAAUCACUACCGAGGUACCGCCUCGUAGUCUCAUUUUACAAUUCAAAUUACAAUCUUACCUUAUACACUACGGGAGACUUGAAUUUUUCUGAAAUAGCUACCCGCGUUUUAGUCCACCUUAUCACACUGCGUGGCUUCAAGUAGUUCCCCUACUAGCAACAUGCAUAUCAAGCUCAUCUUAUCUCACCGCAUGCAUUUCAACCCCAAUCCAUAUACCACCGCAUGCAUAUUAAUAUCACAACACAUCACAAAUCGCGCCUCAAGUGACCAAUACCACAACUUGCCAAAAAAGUCAACAAUAAUAGUUUUUUCACAAUAAAUAUCCCAUGGUUAAACCACAAUAUGUACAAGAGUCUCAACAAUAGCAACUAAAAAUGAAUAACUCAACAAGAAUGGUAUUUCAACAAAUUUACAACUUUGCCUCAAUGUGAAUCACGACUUUUAUAACUUCAACACCAUAAUUCAACAAUAAGAUAUUCCAAGAAAUAACAAAUUCAAGUAAAGGAACUAUGUCAAGAUAACAUGUUAUGACUAUUCAAUUAAAGGCAUAAAAAAAUAUACGUAGCUCAAGCCGGUAAAUUACCACAUUUAGCCUGUGUUCCCACUCGUCACCUUGCGUACACAACUUUCAUAUACCACAAUUAACACAAAACAACACCAAUCUAAAGGGGUGAUUUUCCACACAAAGUUAGGCAAUACACUUACCUAAAACACGCUAACUCAAUCCACUAGUAAGCCUUUUCUGCGAUUAUCCAACUCCGAAUGGCUCGAAUCUAGCAGAAAUAGCAUUACGCCGUAAAUACAAACCAUAAAAAAUUAUUCCGAAUAAUAAAGGUGUAAUCUUUAAAGAAAAUCAAAAAUUCAACUCAAAAAGUCAACCUCGGGCAUGCAUCUCGGAACCCGACCAAACGUACGAAAUCCGAACACCAAUUAAAUAACGAGUCCAAUCUUACUAAAAUUAUUCAAAUCUGAACUCAAAUCGCCAAAAUUUGGUCUAUGAAGUUUAAAAAAAAAAUCCCAAAUUUUCCAACUCAAAACACUAAUUAAAUUACAAAAACACGGUGGAUUCAUGUACAAUAGCCAAAUCCGAGUUAGAAUCACUUAUCCCGAUGAAUUCAUUAAAAAUCCCUCUCAAAAUCCCCACAAACCGAGCUCUCUAGGGGAAAAAGAUGAAGAAUGAAACAAAACCCUCAUUUUUGAAAUUUAACAUUGUUGCCCAAUUAUCCUAUCUCACGAUCGCGGACAAAAGACUCGCGAUAGUGGAGAACAAAUCUCCUCAGCUCAAAAAAGACAAUAUGCGAUCGUAUGACUAUAGUCAUGAACGUGAUGGCAGGACCUGCCAAGGUUACAAGAUUGCGGACAACACCACAUGAACGUGAAGAACAACGCAAGCCUCAGCACCGACACGCCUUCCUUAUAUGCGAACGCGGUCAUAUCCAUGCAGUCAUGAUGCACAAGCUCUCCAACCUUCGCGAUCACACCAUCCCAGCAGUCCCUAAGUAUUCUACGCGAUCACAGGAGAACCUUCGCGAACGCAUAGAAGGAAACUAGAACAGAAAAACCAGUAGUCCUAGUUCAAGAGCAAAUGGUCUGAACUCAAUCCGAAACAUGUUCGGGCCCUCCCGGACCAUCCAAACAUACCAACAAGUCCUAAAACAUGAUACAAACUUGCUCGAAGCCUCAAAUCAUUAAGCAACACUAAAACCACGAAUUGCACAUCAUUUCAAGCCUAAUGAACUCAUGAAUUCCUAACUUAUAAAUUAAUGUUGAAAGAUACCAAACCAACCCCAAUUGACCUAAAAUUUCGCACAUAAGUCAAAAUUGACAUAAUGGACCUAUUCCAACUUUUGAAUCCAAAAUUCGGACCCGAUAUCAUAAAUUCAACUCCCGGUCAAACUUCUCAACCUUCCGAACAUUUAACUUUUCAACUUUCGCCAAUUCAAGCCAAAAAGACCUACAGACCUCCAAAUCAAUAUUCGGACAUCCUCCCACGUUCAAAAUUACCAUAUGGAACUAUUGGAAUCGUUAAAACUCAUUUCUGAAGUUGUCUACACAAUAUUCAAAUUUCGGUCAGCUCUUUCAACUUUUGGAUUAAGUGUCGCAUUUUUCACUCUGAAACUCACCCAAACCAAAACCAAACAUCCCGGCAAGUCACAUAACCACAAUACAAUAUAGAGGAGGCAAUAAAUAGGAGAACGGGUCUAAAAAACUCCAAGUGACUGGCCGGGUCAUUACAGUGUCUUUACUCUAUUUUGACAUAACAUUAAUUCUAUUUUAUUCUUAAUCACAAGCAUUUGUUGCAAUUUCAUUUGGGCCUUACAUUGAUCUUAUCUGCAUUUAAAUGUUAUGUUGGGCCUUGUCACUAAUGUUUGCCUUUCUAUUUUGCACAUGUGAUCAAAAUGGGCCUGUUGAGUUCUCAAGAACUCAGGUCCAAGUUCCAGCCUCGAGUCUGAAGUCAUUGAAGUUGUUGCUACUAUUCGUUGUCCGUUGGGCCUGACAUUCUUUAGGCCCAAACCAUGAGUCCAAUUCCCUUUGUUUUAUUGCUUUUAUAUAAAUUUGUUGUUGUUUCUAUGUAUAUAUAACACGGAUGAUAUUGAGAAAAUGAUUUUCUCUUUUAUCAUUUUUUAAUUAUUUUAGAAACGGGAAGGGCUAAAUAUACCCAGCUACUUUCAAAUAUUAUUUAUAUGUACCCUUCGUUAUACUACUGGGUUAUCCAUACCCCUACCGUCAAACUUUGGAACAAAAAUACCCUUAUUGUCAUACUUUGAAACAAAAAUACCCCUAUUUUGGAUGGAGUGCCACGUGACACCACCAGAUUAAAACGAUCCAAUUCUUUUUUUUACCUGAUCCGUUUUUUAAAAAACCCACAACCCGACCCCGAUUUUUAUUUUUUUCCAUUUUUUUUAAAAUUUUAGUUUUAAAAAAACGAAAAUAUUUUGGUUAAAAAACAAAACAAACAAAAAAUCUGUUUUUACAAAUUUGUUUUUCCAGUUUUUACAAAACAAAAUUCUUUUAAAAACUGAAAAAAUGAAAAAAAAUAUUUUUCAAAAACAAAAAUAUUUUGUUGAAAAUAAUAUUUUCGGUUUUUAAAAAACGAAAAUAUUUUGUUGAAAAUAAUAUUUUCAGUUUGUAAAAAACGAAAAUAUUUUGUUAUAAACUGAAUUUCUUUUUGUAAAGGCUUUUAGCUUCUUUGGGUUCUAUAAAUAAAGAAUUUUUUUAUAAGGUGUAUGAAAUUUUAUUUAACAUAUGAAACGAAAAAGAAGGAAGAGAGUGGUGGGUGUGGGUGUGUGUGGUGGGGGGGNNNNNNNNNNNNNNNNNNNNNNNNNAUAAAACUACGAAAAAAAAUAUUUCGUUUUUUUAAACUUGUAAAACAUUAUUUUUAACAAAAUAUUUUUGUUUUUGAAAAAAAAAAUUCAUUUUUCAGUUUUUUAAAAGAAUUUUGUUUUGUAAAAAUUGGAAAAACAACUUUGUAAAAACAGAUUUUUUUUUGUUUUUUAACAAAAUAUUUUUGUCUUUUUUAAAAAUUGAAAAUAAAAAAAAAUUGGAAAAAGAUGAAAAUAGGGGUCGGGUUGUGGGUUUUCUAAAAACGGAUCGAGUAAAAAAAAGAAAUAGGUCAUUUUAAUCUAGUGUUGCCAGGUGGCACUCCAUCCAAAAUAGGAGUAUUUUUGUUUCAAAGUAUGACAAUAGGGGUAUUUUUGUUCCAAAGUAUGACGGUAGGGGUAUGGAUAUCCCAAUAGUAUAACGAAGGGUACAGGUAAACAAUAUUUGAAAGUAGAGAGGUAUAUUUAGCCCUUUUCCGUUUUAGAAACUUAGGCAAGUUGAAAAAUCAUAGGUAAUAUCAAAAGGAAUGACUGUCUCUUCAAUCAGUUAAAUAACUUCAACUUGUUUAAUUAUUUCUAUUAUAUAGUUUUCACUUUCAUCUCUACUAAUCAUUUUUCAUGAAUUUUUGAAGUUCAAAACAGAUUUGAAAAGUUGACAAUCCACUUCCUUUAAAAGCCGAAUUGGGCAGAUAAUUUCAAAGUCGAGUCAUCUACAAAUCAAAUGAACACAGUUGCGAUCAAAGAACUUCAAACGAUUUUCUUCUAAACUUGGAUGUAGAAUUUGGAAGAGUUUUCAAGGUAUAUCUAAACUCAUUUCACUAUAGCUACAGAAACAGCCAUUUUGUUUCAAAAGUAAAAAGUAUUUUUAAACCUAGACAUACUUACAAAGUUUACAAAUAAAGCCUUUUAGACCUACUUUCAAAAGUUCUUUCAAUCACGUAAAUAUGAACACUUUUUCAAGGCUUUUACAAAUGAAAACUACACUCUCCCUUCAAAAUUGCAUACAUCGUUUUCAAGUGAUAAGUAUUAGUCAUGACAUAGAGUAAGCUACAUAUUUUUAAGCACUAACCAGUAGAAUAUAGACAUUUAAUUUCCUAAAACUAGUCUAAGUCCUAUGGAGCUACCUUAGGUAGAUUCUAGGAGGUGCGUAACACCUUACCCUUAGAAGAACAAGAACCCUUACCCAAAUUUCACUAGUUAGUGGACCAAUAAAUAAUAAUUUAAUAAUUGAAUAGGUAUCAUAGUAUACCUAUAAAUAUUAUAUGGCGACUCUUUUUCAUCAUCAACAGGGACGCUACUAGUUGAAUCUUGCUAGGUGGCUCCUCAGAAGCAUCUAUUGUAAGUGCACAAAUAGUUGCGGGUGAUCCACCUCUCGGAGGUGCCGCCAUACGUACCCUGGUCUGAGCUCCUGCCCUACCUGAGCCCUGCCUCCUCUGGCUCCGGCCUAGGGUAUUGGCUUCUGCUUAACCGUUGCGGAUGCAUUUGGCCUCACCUUCUAUAAGAGAAUAGAAGAGUAAGGUUCAAACACUAAGAUAAAACAAGGGACGCACAAUAAGGAAAGAAAGAAGGAAAUUUUCCUAAAUCCCUGUCACACCUUCCUUUUUACCCGCCUGUGGGGGAUAUGAGGGAGUUUUUCCAAUUAAAGUGACAAUAAUCCAAAUGGGAUUAAUUAAUUUAUUUUUUAGAGUCGCCACUUGGAAUAGUUUAUUAUGGUGUCCCAAGUCACCGGUUUAUUUUAAAAUCCCAAGUCGAGGAAAUUUUCGACUUUAUUUAAAAGUCUUCGAACUAGAAAUUCUAAGUGAAGAAUUUUGUUAACCCGGGAGAAGGUGUUAGGCAUUUUUGGAUUCCGUGAUUCUAGCACGGUCGCUUAAACUAUUAAUAAUUGGCCUAUUAUCUGAUUUACUACAUAUCUUAAACCUAUUAUGCAUUUUUAACUUUAUAAAAGCCUUUUAAUUAUUUGAUGAAAUUAUUCUGGAACAAGUUACGAUUGUCGUACACUUGUUUGUUUGAUACACAUUUUAAAUCAUGUCACGGGAUCCGUACCCAUGAUCUACAACAUGUUUAUUUUAUUAAAGUUAUUAGAAGUUGUGGCCGGGUCACAUAAAUGUACCCCCGAAUUUGAAAAUUAGGUAUCACAGUUAUGUCACGGGAACCGUACCCGUAGCUAUGAUGAUUUUAUUAUAAAUGCACCUAAAGCAAACUACGAGUGUUUAAAAAGGUGUCUUUCCAUUCUAAGUUAAUAUUAAUGUGAGGGCCAUAAGUUAUGACUUUUAUUUGUGUAUGGCACACCACAAUUUAUUUUUAAAAGAAAAGAUUUGUAUUUUUUAUAAGGCAAACUAAAGAUGCUCCUACUUUAAUCUAAUUUAAAAUUAGGUAUCACAACCACGUCACGAGAAUCGUACCCGUAGUUUUAAUAAUUUAAUUGUGUGCCUAAAGAAAACUACAGUGUUCCAAAUUUGUGAUUCAUAGCCAAUUUGGGAUUGUUGUGAAGGCUCUGACUUAUGGACUUGACUUAUUUGGGAAGAAAAACAUACUAAUCCUAUGGAGAAAAGACAAAUCUAGGAUGCAUUACUGUAUGGAGUAUGAAUUUUUCAACACAUUUUGAAAGGAAAAAAAAAGCCAUGUUAAUUAGUUAGUUGUGUUCGUGUUCCACUUGAUUUCCACUUCAAUUUUAUUUUUUCUUUUUUUAUUCUUUUCAACAAAGAAGUUCAAAGAACUCUACCACACAUGCCUAAGAUAAAUACAUUUAAUUAACAAUGCUACAAAAUAUAUAUUAUAACAUGAAGCAACAGUUCAAAUGGUAAUCACCAAAUAUGCAAGUAUUUAGAUGUCUCUGUCAGUGAAGAAAGCACAUGUUCCUUUUAAUUCAGAUGCCAAGAAAAAAAAAACGAACAUCUCCAUGUAUCCCGGGAAUAGAAAUUGAAAUAACUGACAUGAACAAAUCCUUUCAACAAAUAUACUGGGACAGCCUCAAGCAGCAAAGUUAAAAUCAAGUAGGCUCCUUAUUCAUAUGUAAACUCAAAUCAAAUAAAUACUAAUAUUCCUACCAAUCAAAUAUCAAAUCAGUGAUCAUAGAGUCAUAUCGAACUAUAAUCUGAUAUGUCUAAACCAAGCAGAUUCAUAAAUUUAUAUGCUUGUCCAAAGUGAAGCAACAGAAAUGACAUGAAAAAACUGGAGCCAAAUCAAAUUAGUAUUUUAUUCAUUCAAAAAUCGCAACAAUCUGAAAAUUAGAAAUGUACCUACCUUGUAUUUUAAAAGAAACGAAGGAAAAGCGAAACGAAGCUCAGUAGCAAUUUCUCGUCCACAACAAAUAACAAUCGCAGCAAGACAGCUCCAAUUAGAGCUUCGACAACUUGGAUCCUAAAUAGGAAUAAACGGCUUUACGGGCAUCGGGAGAAGAGUUCCAAUCAAGGGCAGCCACAAUAGCUCGAGUUACAUUGCUUGUUAUACCAUUUUCCUCCAUCUUUUUUAGCUGUUAAUUAAUGCUUCAAUAGAUUCUUGAAGUUGUACAGUAUUCACCUUUGAAAAGUGUUUUAAAAGGAAGAAAGAAAAAAUUGGAAAGAGGGUUUCAAGCAAAUAUGUCAGUUAUUUGCCCUAUGGGAUGGUGGACAGAGUGGGGAUAGAGGAAAGGUGCUUUAUCUUUUUGGGUCUCUGAUUUGUGUGUCGUGUGGAGAAAAUGAAGAAGAAGAAAGAGGGGUCUGGUCUUUUUUGUGGAAACGGCGCUAAGGGGGUGGAUCC